This 464-nucleotide ribosomal RNA is filed under the name Burkholderiales bacterium oral taxon A57. RNAcentral's name for it is "bacterial SSU rRNA". It matches the Rfam family "Bacterial small subunit ribosomal RNA", at positions 30 to 495 of the family's 1533-position model. The record is from RNAcentral. Lineage: Bacteria; Pseudomonadati; Pseudomonadota; Betaproteobacteria; Burkholderiales.
AUUGAACGUUGGCGGCAUGCCUUACACAUGCAGGUCGAACGGUAACAGGUUAAGCUGACGAGUGGCGAACGGGUGAGUAAUAUAUCGGAACGUGCUCAGUCGUGGGGGAUAACUACUCGAAAGAGUAGCUAAUACCGCAUACGACCUGAGGGUGAAAGCGGGGGAUCGCAAGACCUCGCGCGAUUGGAGCGGCCGAUAUCAGAUUAGGUAGUUGGUGGGGUAAAAGCUCACCAAGCCAACGAUCUGUAGCUGGUCUGAGAGGACGACCAGCCACACUGGGACUGAGACACGGCCCAGACUCCUACGGGAGGCAGCAGUGGGGAAUUUUGGACAAUGGGCGCAAGCCUGAUCCAGCCAUGCCGCGUGCGGGAAGAAGGCCUUCGGGUUGUAAACCGCUUUUGUCAGGGAAGAAAAGGUUCUGGCUAAUACCCGGGACUCAUGACGUACCUGAAGAAUAAGCACCG